CCUAUUAAGCCCUGUGUGUGACCCAUAGCACAUUUUCAUAUUAACUAUUCAUCAAGUAAUAAAUAUAAAUACACCUAUAUUCUAUAAAAUUCCUCUUUCGAUCAUGCUCAGAUAGAAGAAAAACAUUAAGAAACUGUAACUCAAAAACUGUUCCUCCUAAAAGCGAAAGUAAAAUGAAAAGGCUUUUAAAUGAAGUUAUCUGUAACAUGUACAUAAAAUAGUAAGUGCAGAGCAAUACAUUUGUAAAAUCUAUACCCUGACAUAAGCAUGUAAACCAUGGGUAAACAAAACUUAAAUCCUGAAUUAUGAACUCUAGCUACCAACAGGAAUUAGAUAUCUAAUACAUUCAGCUUCUUUUGUCAAAUAACUUCAAUCUACGAUCUACUAUACCUAAGAUUUGCCAGUGAGGAGGAGAAAGAUACGAAAAAUUGAGCUUAAAAUUCAAAAAUCCAUGUAGGUACAAACAACUGAAAUAAAAGUUUAAAAUGCAGUUUUUGUUAAGAGGGUAGCUAGUGCACAACUCUUAAAUUAAGCCUUAGUAAAAAUAUAUAUAUAUUACGUAUAUAUGUAAUACAUAUUUGAUGACCACCUAAAUCUUCUAAUAAAAAGAUAUGAAACAGAGGUCAAACAGAAGUCAAACAAAUACCAAUAAUCUGAAAAACUAACACUGAGCUCAACUCAGCAAAAUGCACUGUUUGUUGUUUUCAUCAGGUUCACCAUAAAAUAUUAGAUUUUUUCAAGGGGUUACUAAGAAAAAUAAAUACAACAUGUGAGUAAUAAUUUCACUUCAAAAAUGUGCCUGCCCCACUGUUUUCAUAUAUUAUUACUCUAUCAAAACUAUUUGAAAAACAGUUCAUUUCUUACAAGUCAAAUAAUGAGGGGUUAUUAAUAAAAUUCUAAAAUGGAGACUAAGAUACUAACUACUGAAGAAAAGAAAACAUACAUGAGCUGCUUAUGUUCAGGAACUAAUAGGUCCAGUGAGCAUUUCUAAGAUUAUUUAGCCAUCAAAGAUAAUGAAUUGACAUUGUCAGUGGUAUUAAUGUACCAGUGCUCUCUCCUGCCACUAAGCUCAGAGCCAACUCCUGUGCUGCUUUUUUUUUUUUUUUUUUAAUGUUUUUCACUUCAAUUUUUAACCUACGUAAUGCUCUAUCCCUUUGAAACACAUAAAUACAGAACAACCUAUGAUACUUUUUCUUUAGCAUUACAGGGUAUUUAACUCAUUAUUGUUCUGGUUCAAGUACAGAGAUCAAUAGGCAUUCUUCAGUUUACUGUAAUUCUUCAGAACUUUUAGCUUCACUGUAAAAAUACCUACCCAGUUCAAAUUGUUGCUUUGUGACCCUUAAAUUUCACUUUAAAAAAUUAACUUAUUACUCUUGGCCAAGUAAAAUUCAAUUCUUAAGAGAUACAAUUUUGGCAUAUAGACUGCUUUUUUUUAUGCAUACACAUACAUGCAAACCUCUAGGAUAGCAGUAUAAAACUCCACAUACCUAUUUGUACUCAUAAUUCUUUACUUGGGAAUCAACUACAGAAACCGCUAGUGUAACACUUCAGUUGUACAUUGUAAGCAAUGAGCUAAGCAAAGCCUGCACUGUUCAAAUCACACAACCAAAACCAAAU
This 1617-nucleotide long non-coding RNA is filed under the name Sus scrofa (pig). RNAcentral's name for it is "lncRNA (ENSSSCG00055001099.1)". The record is from RNAcentral. Lineage: Eukaryota; Metazoa; Chordata; Mammalia; Artiodactyla; Suidae.